This 234-nucleotide unclassified non-coding RNA is filed under the name plant metagenome. RNAcentral describes it as "partial contains small subunit ribosomal RNA, internal transcribed spacer 1, and 5.8S ribosomal RNA". The record is from RNAcentral.
AUUCCGUAGGUGAACCUGCGGAAGGAUCAUUAAAGUUAUAGUCCCCCGGCCCUCUGGGCUGGGGUCUUCUAUACCACCCUUUGUUUAUUACACCUUUGUUGCUUUGGCAGGCCUGCCCUCGGGCUGCUGGCUCCGGCCGGCUCGCGUCUGCCAGAGGACCUAAACUCUGCUUGUAUAUGAAGUCUGAGUACUAUAUAAUAGUUAAAACUUUCAACAACGGAUCUCUUGGUUCUG